Molecule: long non-coding RNA, 242 nt
Filed under: Fukomys damarensis (Damara mole-rat)
Lineage: Eukaryota; Metazoa; Chordata; Mammalia; Rodentia; Bathyergidae
Description: lncRNA (ENSFDAG00000030130.1)
Source: RNAcentral
GAUGAAUGUCAUUUCCACUCAUAUUUGUUGGUCAGAUUUGGACUUCAGAGCCAGGGGUGACAGUGCAGAAAAAUGUUAUCACCCCCCAGGAAGGGGUAGCACGUACUUCUGAGCAGCAUCACAGCCCUGGACAGCUUUCCAGAGAGUGUCGUCUCGUUAGUGCCGUGCCUGUCACGUCAGGGUCACCUGCCCCCUCUCACUGUCACACUCAUUCUGCCAACUUGCGGAGACUCUGGAAAUGA